RNAcentral lists this ribosomal RNA (304 nucleotides) under uncultured bacterium. Its description in RNAcentral is "partial 16S ribosomal RNA". It matches the Rfam family "Bacterial small subunit ribosomal RNA", at positions 509 to 807 of the family's 1533-position model. The record is from RNAcentral.
CAGCAGUCGCCGCGGUAAUACGGAGGGUGCAAGCGUUAAUCGGAAUUACUGGGCGUAAAGCGCACGCAGGCGGUUUGUUAAGUCAGAUGUGAAAUCCCCGAGCUUAACUUGGGAACUGCAUUUGAAACUGGCAAGCUAGAGUCUUGUAGAGGGGGGUAGAAUUCCAGGUGUAGCGGUGAAAUGCGUAGAGAUCUGGAGGAAUACCGGUGGCGAAGGCGGCCCCCUGGACAAAGACUGACGCUCAGGUGCGAAAGCGUGGGGAGCAAACAGGAUUAGAUACCCGAGUAGUCCCUGUCUCUUAUAC